GUUAAACAAAGAAUACAAAUAAAUUUUAUGAAUAUGUGAGAUAAAUUGAAUUUAUUUAAUUAAUAAAAAAAAAUUAGGUGAAAUUUUAUUUUUUUUUAAAAAUUAAUAUAAAAAAUUAUAUUGAGUCUUGAAAAUUUUAUUAUUAAACUAGGAUUAGAUACCCUAUUAUUUAAUUAUUUAAGAAUAUAAAAAUUAGAGUAGUAAUAGUUAUGGUCUUGAAACUCAAAAAAUUUGGCGGUAUUUUAGUCUAUUCAGAGGAACUUGUAAUGUAAUCGAUAAUCCCCGAUGGAUCUUACUUAAUUUUGUAAUUUAAUUUGUAUAUCGCCGUUAUUUAAAAAUUUUAUAAGAAAAAUAAUUUUUAAAAAUUUUUAUUAAAAAAUAAAUCAGGUCAAGGUGCAGUUUAUAAUUAAGUUUUAUAUGAGUUACAAUAAAUUUAUUUAAACGGAUUAAAAGAUGAAAUAUUUUUAAGAAGGUGGAUUUGAUAGUAAAUUUUUAAAGAUAAAAAAAUUGAUUUUAGCUCUAAAAUAUGUACACAUCGCCCGUCGCUCUUGUUAAUAAUAUAA
Molecule: ribosomal RNA, 563 nt
Filed under: Campsicnemus longiquus
Lineage: Eukaryota; Metazoa; Arthropoda; Insecta; Diptera; Dolichopodidae
Description: partial 12S ribosomal RNA
Source: RNAcentral